This 481-nucleotide ribosomal RNA is filed under the name uncultured bacterium. Its description in RNAcentral is "partial 16S ribosomal RNA". It matches the Rfam family "Bacterial small subunit ribosomal RNA", at positions 28 to 523 of the family's 1533-position model. The record is from RNAcentral.
GACGAACGCUGGCGGCGUGCUUAACACAUGCAAGUCGAACGAUGAAGGAGAGCUUGCUCUCCGGAUUAGUGGCGAACGGGUGAGUAACACGUGAUUAACCUGCCCCUUUCUCUGGGAUAACGCUCCGAAAGGAGUGCUAAUACCGGAUACGAACUCUGAACACAUGUUCGGAGUUGGAAAGUUUUUCGGAAAGGGAUGGAGUCGCGGCCUAUGAGCUUGUUGGUGAGGUAAUGGCUCACCAAGGCGACGACGGGUAGCGGGCCUGAGAGGGCGACCGGCCACACUGGGACUGAGACACAGCCCAAACUCCUACGGGGGGCAGCAGUGGGAAAUAUUGCACAAUGGGCGAAAGCAUGAUGCAGCGACGCCGCGUGUGGGAUGAAGGUCUUCGGAUUGUAAACCUCUUUCAGUAGGGAAGAAGCGAAAGUGACGGUACCUAAAGAAGAAGCACCGGCUAACUACGUGCCAGCCGCCGCCGUAA